This is a long non-coding RNA of Trematomus bernacchii (emerald rockcod), 250 nucleotides long. RefSeq lists it as uncharacterized. The record is from RefSeq and is a predicted model, not a curated record. Lineage: Eukaryota; Metazoa; Chordata; Actinopteri; Perciformes; Nototheniidae. The transcript is spliced from 3 exons.
ACCUGAAGAGAGUCUGUGAGUAGACCUGAAGAGAGUUCAGCAGGGUUACUAGUUCAUCUCUCAGGAUGGAGAACAUGAGAGAUUUGGAUGAUGAGGAGGAGGACAAAUCUUCAGUGUCCAGAAAACCUCCAGAUUUGAGUAAUACACUUGGAGCAUCUGACACAAGACAGAGAGCAGAGUCUCCAGUCCCCAGCUGUCUGUCUCUGAAGAGUGACUGGUCUAUGAGUCAACCUCUCUACUUCAGUAAUGA